RNAcentral lists this transfer RNA (85 nucleotides) under Felis catus (domestic cat). It matches the Rfam family "tRNA". From Rfam's summary of the family: Transfer RNA (tRNA) molecules are approximately 80 nucleotides in length. Their secondary structure includes four short double-helical elements and three loops (D, anti-codon, and T loops). Lineage: Eukaryota; Metazoa; Chordata; Mammalia; Carnivora; Felidae. The record is from Rfam by way of RNAcentral.
GCCUCGGUGGCUCAGUCAGUUAAGCAUCUGACUUUGGCUCAGGUCAUGAUCUCGUGGUUUGUGGGUUUGAGCCCCACAUGGGGCU